This 164-nucleotide ribosomal RNA is filed under the name Veronica tenuifolia. RNAcentral describes it as "5.8S ribosomal RNA". It matches the Rfam family "5.8S ribosomal RNA". From Rfam's summary of the family: 5.8S ribosomal RNA (5.8S rRNA) is a component of the large subunit of the eukaryotic ribosome. It is transcribed by RNA polymerase I as part of the 45S precursor that also contains 18S and 28S rRNA. The record is from RNAcentral. Lineage: Eukaryota; Viridiplantae; Streptophyta; Magnoliopsida; Lamiales; Plantaginaceae.
UCUAAACGACUCUCGGCAACGGAUAUCUCGGCUCUCGCAUCGAUGAAGAACGUAGCGAAAUGCGAUACUUGGUGUGAAUUGCAGAAUCCCGUGAACCAUCGAGUCUUUGAACGCAAGUUGCGCCCGAAGCCUUCAGGCCAAGGGCACGCCUGCCUGGGCGUCAC